CCUACGGGAGGCAGCAGUGGGGAAUAUUGCGCAAUGGGCGAAAGCCUGACGCAGCGACGCCGCGUGGGGGAUGAAGGUCUUCGGAUCGUAAACCUCUGUCAGCAGGGAAGAACGGUCACUGUGCUAAUCAGCAGUGAAUUGACGGUACCUGCAAAGGAAGCACCGGCUAACUCCGUGCCAGCAGCCGCGGUAAUACGGAGGGUGCGAGCGUUAAUCGGAAUUACUGGGCGUAAAGCGCUCGUAGGCGGUAUGUCAAGUCAGGUGUUAAAGGCGCAGGCUCAACCUGUGUAUGGCACUUGAUACUUGCAAGCUGGAAUGCGGUAGAGGUAAAGGGAAUUCCUGGUGUAGCGGUGAAAUGCUUAGAUAUCAGGAGGAACAUCGGUGGCGUAAGCGCUUUACUGGGCCGUAAUUGACGCUGAGGAACGAAAGCCAGGGUAGCAAAUGGGAUUAGAUACCCCUGUAGUC
RNAcentral lists this ribosomal RNA (465 nucleotides) under uncultured bacterium. RNAcentral's name for it is "partial 16S ribosomal RNA". It matches the Rfam family "Bacterial small subunit ribosomal RNA", at positions 338 to 795 of the family's 1533-position model. The record is from RNAcentral.